GAAAGGUCGGAAAUCGGAGUUUAAUCCCGCGAUAGUCCAAGAUACCUGGAUUGGUUUUUGAUCAAAAUCUAUAGGCCAUUUGGAUUGGACUGCGACCGAUCAGGCUGUGGGUGAGGUAAUGGCCCACCAAACCUGUAACCGGUACGGGCUCUGAGAGGAGGAGCCCGGAGAUGGGUACUGAGAAAAGGACCCAGGCCCUAUGGGGCGCAGCAGGCGCGAAACCUCUGCAAUAGGCGAAAGCCUGACAGGGUUAUUCUGAGUGACUUUCGCUAAGAAAGUCUUUUGACACCUCUAAAAAUGGUGUAGGAUAAGGGGUGGGCAAGUCUGGUGUCUGCCGCCGCGGUAAUACCAGCACCCCGAGUGGUCGGGACGAUUAUUGGGCCUAAAGCAUCCGUAGCCGGUUUUACAAGUCCUCCGCUAAAUCCACCUGCUUAACAGAGGGGCCGCGGAGGAUACUAUAAGAUUAGGAGGCAGGAGAGGCAAGCGGUACUCAGUGGGUAGGGGUAAAAUCCGUUAAUCCAUUGAAGACCACCAGUGGGGAAGCCGGCUUGCCAGAAUGCGCUGGACGGUGAGGGAUGAAAGCGGGGGGAGCAAACCGGAUUAGAUACCCGGGUAGUCCCAGCUGUAGACGAUGCGGACUCGGGGAUGGAUUAGCUUCAUGUUAGUCCAGUGCCGCAGGGAAGCCGUAAAUUUUGCCGCGUGGGUAGUACGUUCCCAAGACUGAAACUUAAGGGAAUUGGCGGGGGAGCCCAUUGAAUUCCCGCGGCCGCCAGCCGGCCGAAGCACGAAACUUCGCCUUU
This 800-nucleotide ribosomal RNA is filed under the name uncultured soil archaeon. Its description in RNAcentral is "bacterial SSU rRNA". It matches the Rfam family "Archaeal small subunit ribosomal RNA", at positions 126 to 934 of the family's 1478-position model. The record is from RNAcentral.